RNAcentral lists this transfer RNA (72 nucleotides) under Ovis aries (sheep). It matches the Rfam family "tRNA". From Rfam's summary of the family: Transfer RNA (tRNA) molecules are approximately 80 nucleotides in length. The record is from Rfam by way of RNAcentral. Lineage: Eukaryota; Metazoa; Chordata; Mammalia; Artiodactyla; Bovidae.
UCCCUAGCAGUCCAGUGGUUAGGACUUUGUGCUUUCACUGCUAACGGCCCGGUUCAAUCCCUGGUUGGGGAA